RNAcentral lists this ribosomal RNA (468 nucleotides) under uncultured bacterium. RNAcentral describes it as "partial 16S ribosomal RNA". It matches the Rfam family "Bacterial small subunit ribosomal RNA", at positions 28 to 507 of the family's 1533-position model. The record is from RNAcentral.
GACGAACGCUGGCGGCGUGCUUAACACAUGCAAGUCGAACGGAAAGGCCCUGCUUUUGUGGGGUGCUCGAGUGGCGAACGGGUGAGUAACACGUGAGUAACCUGCCCUUGACUUUGGGAUAACUUCAGGAAAUUGGGGCUAAUACCGGAUAGGAGCUCCUGCUGCAUGGUGGGGGUUGGAAAGUUUCGGCGGUUGGGGAUGGACUCGCGGCUUAUCAGCUUGUUGGUGGGGUAGUGGCUUACCAAGGCUUUGACGGGUAGCCGGCCUGAGAGGGUGACCGGCCACAUUGGGACUGAGAUACGGCCCAGACUCCUACGGGAGGCAGCAGUGGGGAAUAUUGCACAAUGGGCGGAAGCCUGAUGCAGCAACGCCGCGUGCGGGAUGACGGCCUUCGGGCUGUAAACCGCUUUCGCCUGUGACGAAGCGUGAGUGACGGUAAUGGGUAAAGAAGCACCGGCUAACUACGUG